Molecule: long non-coding RNA, 3450 nt
Filed under: Sarcophilus harrisii (Tasmanian devil)
Lineage: Eukaryota; Metazoa; Chordata; Mammalia; Dasyuromorphia; Dasyuridae
Description: lncRNA (ENSSHAG00000024819.1)
Source: RNAcentral
AAAAAUUAAAGUAGAAGGACAUAAAAUCUGUUUUUUUAAAGGACUUUCAUAUCAAAAAGUAAUUAUUUAUUCUACAUGGCUCCAGAACUGGCCUAGAACCAAUAUGUGUAAGUUAUAGGGAGAAAGUGUUUUGUUUUCUGGUAAGAAGAUAUAAUUAUACAAAAAAUGAAAUGAGUUAUCUCAUUUAGUAGUGAGCUCUAUGGCCCUAGAAGUGUUGAAGUAUAGGAUCUCACAGAACACAUCUUGAAAAGAGAAUUCUUAAAUGGUAAAGGUUAGAAUAAAUGAUCUUCAGUCUUCCUUCCAAUUCUAAGAUUUUAUUUACUUAUGAUUUGUAUUUUAGGUUAUUCUUGCUGGCUACUUCCUAAUGUUCUUCUGGUUACUAUGGAAAAUACUUAGCAAACAGAGUUGGCCUGAUAGCUUCUUAGCAUUUUUAACUGAGUGUGUUGAGUACAAAAAUCCCAAAGUUCAAAUGUUCCUUUUGCAAUGCAUCCUUUUUUUUUUUUUAAACAUUAUUUAAAACUUCAAGGAAAUUAAAAUACUUCAAGAACUUGUAGUUAUAUUGAUAUGAGUACUUCACCAACAGAUUGCAACCCUACAGCUGAGCAAAUCCUCUUUAAAAGCUUCUGUGAUCAAAAACCUCCUCUGAUCAACCUGGUGAUAAACUUCUAAAUUUAGUGAGGCUGUCCUUAGAUGACAAAUAUACAGUUCAUGAUUGGGCAGGCUUGAUUUUUUUUUCUUGACGAGGGUAAAAUUCUUUUAUAAUUUAUAAUUUCCAAAGGAACUAAGGAUGUGGCAUCAAAAAUAAGAUGAAAUUAUAUUUAGUCUCACCUCAACUACAUAUUUGUUCAUUAGGAGGCACAAUAUUUAUAAAAGAGCACCAUACUGUGUUAUACAAUAGGAUAAGACAGCUAGCAAAGAAUCAUCAAAUGCUCAGGAGUCCAUGUUUACUUCAGAUGUUGCACCUAGGACAUAGUGAAUUUCAAAGCAUGCUAAUUCAAUAUGGAUACCAGAAUUAAUUCCUCCUUUGUUUUAGAUAUAUCUAAAAUAUCAUCUGUGAUUAAACCUUCAUCUUUACCUCUUCAUUUCUUAGUUAAACCUUGUGGAUUAAUACCUCGAGAACUACACCUACAAUUUUCCAUCUGUUAAGUCCACCAAUCCACAGAUUUUACUGAAGGUCGUCUUUGUUUACUACAGGUGAAAAGUAUAGUAUGAAUAUAUAGGGGGCUUCCUUAAGAUAUGAAUAAAGUGAGAACAUAUGAUUUUAAUCAAGAAUUUUAAAUUGAAGCCUAUAAUUAUAUAUAAUAUACUCAUUUUAAAAGCAGUCAAUAAUUCUAGGUAUAAGUGCCCUCUAUUUGCUCAAUUUAAUCUAAUUAUUUCUGACAUGUGAUUUAAUAGUUUAUCACCCUCCCCCUUCCUUGGAGAUUGUGAUUAUUGCUUAAUUCAACCCUGGAGAUUUAAUAGCAUGAUGUAUUUGCAUUUAAGGAAUAAGAUAUUUAAAAAGUAGUAGUAUGAAUGUUUUAAAAUUUCUGAUUCAUAGCAAUAAAAGCAGGAAUCUGAUAUGUGACCCUGAUACUCAUAUCACACAGAAUUUCAUUCCAUUAAUUCAUGAUUUAUUGCCACCUUAUUCUAUUUCAAAUUUGCUCCUUAAGAGUUCACUUUGAAAUUGAUUGGCCUUUUCUAGUUCCUAUUUGUACAGAUAGUUUAAAUACUCGUCAUAAAAAAAUUAUUUGGCCCAUAUAUCAACUACCCUUAGGGAUAAAAUCUAUUUACUCCAGGGAACUUUGAUCAGAAAUCAUUUGCAUAUUUUGACCUUCAUUUCCUAUUUGAAUUUAAAAUGGCAAAAAUGAUUUUUAGCUUGUCUUCAAACUAAUUUUUUUUUUAAACAUAAGGUCAAUAGUUAUAGAAGUGUGAAGUAUGGUUCUGUUAGACCACUUGGGACUAAAAAAGGUCCUCUUGGGUAAAUUGUUCUGUUGUUUUUAGUGUGACUGAUUUCCCAGAACUGUCAGAUAGAGGGGAUGGGGAGCUGGGGGAGGAAAAAUGACAAAAAUAGUGAGUCUCAUCUAAAGGAUAAUCUCUUCAAAUUGUUUUUCAUCUUUUAAAGAGUAUAAUGAAACUAGAGUUCUUCAAAAUAUGGGGCUAUACUUUGUAUAUUACAAAUAAAGCAGAUCUCCCAGUACCUGUGGAUUUACUAUUCUUAAAGCAUUUUUAUUGUCAUUGUUCCUAAUUUUUCAGUCAUCUUCUGACUCUUUGUGACUCUACUUGGAAUUUUCUUGGCAAAGCUACUUGUGUGGUUUGCUUUUUCCUCUCUAGCUCAUUUUAUAGAUUAAGAUUUGAGGCAAACAAGGUUAAUUGACUCACCCAGGGUCACACAGCUAGUAAAUGUCUUUAGGCCACAUUUAAUCUCACUAGAUUUAAGACCUAGCACUUCUUCUACUGUAACACCUAGAUACCAAUUUUUAAAGCUUAAACCAUCUUUUCACCAGAAGUAACAAUGCCUUUAAAAAGACCAAGACAUAAGAGAAAUCUAAAGGGGCUUUCUGUUUUUGGCCAAGGACUGUGAUUUUAUUGCCUUAGGAACUCACUCUCAGUACCAAAGUUAAACAGGAAUAUUCUUCAAUUUUUAAGAGUUGCUUUGGGCACUGAGAUGAAUUAAGUGACUUCUCAGGGGGUCACAGUCAGUUUCCUAGAGAUGGAACUUGAACCCAAGUCUUUGUGACUUUCUGGCAAGGUUAUCUAUUCACAAUUCUACUUCCUAUAUGUGCUCAAUACAUGUGUUACUCCUGUGCAUACUCAGGUUGAAUAACUACCUGGAAUAGUAAAAAGUAUUUCAAAUUAAUUUUCUUUGGGAUAUAGAUUUCCCAGGAAGGAUAAUUGUGAAUUGUCUGCAUGGUGUGGUGAAAAAGUAUUUUGUUGUUCAGCUGUUUCAGUCUGUACUUAAAAGUUGAAGUAUCUGAGUAGAAUUCCAGCUAAAGCCUAUUAACUAUGUGACCCUGGACAUGUCAACCUGAUUUCCUUUAUCUGUAAGCAGGAAAUAAGACUUUACUCUUCUGACAGAAUAGCUGCAAGAAGUGUGCUGUAAAAGGGCGGAUCAAUUCCUGUUACAUAAUCUGUUUAAGAUUCUUACCAUCUCCUGUCACUUCUCUAAUGAACUCAUUAGACCUCUCACCAAAACUGUCCUUCCAAAUCUUCUGAUCUCUCUGGGUACCCUCUUCCACACAUUCAGUUGAGAAUCUUGCCUCAUUUUCCUGAAAAAAUUGUAUUUGCCUGAGCUCACUCUUCUCCCCUCCAGUUUAUCUGACAUCAUUCAGAUACCUUCUAUUUGCCCCCUCUUCUCCUUACCUCUUGGUGUGCACAAGUGAUUUCCUUUAAUCUUUUAAUCAUUUAAUCUUCAACAGAUAAUUGCUUCUAGCAUCUCUACUAUUUUUUGGCUGCUUCUGUAUUACCUACUUG